CGGCACAAGGGUUGUGCAGAGCCAGCCUGUGGCUCUGACGUCUAUGAGUGUGCAGACAGCGCAGACGCAGCCCGCAAUAUACAGGAGCAGAGUUGCCCUGAACACGCUGUCCCACAAUGCCAACCACAAAUGGGGCCAGCUAAGGGUGUGGUGGGAGAAGCCAUCCUGCAGCUCUGAGAUCCACAAAGUGGAGAUAGCAGUAGCACCAACUCCACUGCUUUGGAGGCUGCCCAGUCGAAUUUGGGAGCCAGCGAGGGACCUGACAGCAGCACAUUGGACACCAGAAGACACCCAAAGGCUGGAAUGCUACGUCGCGAUGUCAGCUCGCUGCAACCCUUGCUUCCUGAGUUCAUGUGAUCCUCCUGCUUCAGCCUCCUGAGUAGCUGGGAUUAGAGGUGGAGAGGAGUGGAAGACCUUCUGGUGUGGGCUGGGCAGCAAUUCACUUGAAGGAGAAACAGCCCGGGUGUGGAGAGGCGGCCAUCCUUGGCGGGAUCCUUUCUAAGGAGCCGAGAAAUCAACGUAGAGCUUCCUCUAUCUGAUUCUCUAACAACUGCAGACCUUCCAUGAGUCAAGCUUUGUGUCAAAAGGACAAAUUAAAAGGACCUAUAAAUGGCACCACCCAGCCCAAUGGACAGAUGCCCCAGGCUGCAGAUUCUGUCAGUGCUGUUCUCGAAGAGGCCCAGGCACAUGCUGAAACAUGGAAGGUAAAACCAGCAAGCAGCUGGCAUACAUUCCACCCAGCCGUCCCCCAGGAGAAUUGCUUGAGCUCCGGAGUUCCAGACCAGCCUGGGCAACAGAACAAGGGCUCAUCUCUACUAGAAAUCAAAAAAUUAGCCAGGAUAAGAAGCCAGCCCUCGGGAACCACCAGGAGCCAGGAGCACCCCCGGCCCCCCAAGGCCCCAAGUCCAGCCUGCCCCACCCCCUCCGGUGCAGAGGUCCUGUGACACCAGUGGCAGCCCCGCCACACCCCCCAAGGCCAAGGGCACAGGCAGCGUGGUCUUCCCCGCCCCGCCCGACUACUUCCUGCCGCCACAGCCACCAAUGCCGCCCCUGGAGUACCCAGAGCUCCCGCUGCCGUCCCCGGACUUCAUGGAGACCCCCCUGGACUUCGUGCUCCCUCCCCUCGCUGUCGCCAAGAGGCCUCCUAUGCCCCACCCCCCCAACAGGCACGAAGCAUCAAUGUUCACAAGCAGCAAAUGAAUAAAAGUUAAACGUUCUUC
RNAcentral lists this long non-coding RNA (1220 nucleotides) under Homo sapiens (human). Its description in RNAcentral is "novel transcript". Lineage: Eukaryota; Metazoa; Chordata; Mammalia; Primates; Hominidae. The record is from RNAcentral.